CGUGUAGGUGGUUUGGCAAGUCCUUUGUGAAAGCUCUCGGCUCAACCGGGAGAGGUCAAAGGAUACUACCAGACUUGAGGAUAGCAGAGGAAGAUGGAAUUCCCGGUGGAGCGGUGAAAUGCGUAGAUAUCGGGAGGAACACCAGUGGCGAAAGCGAUCUUCUGGGCUAUUCCUGACGCUGAGGCGCAAAAGCGUGGGGAGCAAACA
RNAcentral lists this ribosomal RNA (207 nucleotides) under uncultured bacterium. RNAcentral describes it as "partial 16S ribosomal RNA". It matches the Rfam family "Bacterial small subunit ribosomal RNA", at positions 568 to 774 of the family's 1533-position model. The record is from RNAcentral.